Molecule: ribosomal RNA, 494 nt
Filed under: uncultured bacterium
Lineage: Bacteria
Description: partial 16S ribosomal RNA
Rfam family: Bacterial small subunit ribosomal RNA
Source: RNAcentral
GACGAACGCUGGCGGCGCGCUUAACACAUGCAAGUCGAACGGAAAGGCCUGCUUUCCCUUGUGGAUUGCGGGUACUCGAGUGGCGAACGGGUGAGUAACACGUGAGUGAUCUGCCCCCAACUUGGGUAUAAGCCUGGGAAACUGGGUCUAAUUCCCGAUAGGACUGCAGGGUGGUGCCUGUGGUGGAAAACGAUUUUCUAGUGGUUGGGGAUGAGCUCGCGGCCUAUCAGCUUGUUGGUGGGGUAAUGGCCUACCAAGGCGGCGACGGGUAGCCGGCCUGAGAGGGUGGACGGCGACAUUGGGACUGAGAUCCGGCCCAGACUCCUACGGGAGGCAGCAGUGGGGAAUAUUGGACAAUGGGCGGAAGCCUGAUGCAGCGACGCCGCGUGGGGGAUGACGGCCUUCGGGUUGUAAACUCCUUUCGACCGCGAGGAAGCCACCUGGUUGGAAGGGUGGUGACGGUAGUGGUAGAAGAAGCACCGGCUAACUACGUG